RNAcentral lists this ribosomal RNA (253 nucleotides) under uncultured bacterium. RNAcentral's name for it is "partial 16S ribosomal RNA". It matches the Rfam family "Bacterial small subunit ribosomal RNA", at positions 524 to 776 of the family's 1533-position model. The record is from RNAcentral.
UACAUGGGGUGCAAACGUUGCUCGGAAUUAUUGGGCGUAAAGCGCGCGUAGGCGGUUACUUAAGUCGGAUGUGAAAGCCCUCGGCUUAACUGAGGAAGUGCAUCCGAAACUGAGUAGCUAGAGUACGAAAGAGGGUCGCGGAAUUCCCGGUGUAGAGGUGAAAUUCGUAGAUAUCGGGAGGAACACCGGUGGCGAAGGCGGCGACCUGGGUCGAGACUGACGCUGAGGCGCGACAGCGUGGGGAGCAAACAGG